RNAcentral lists this ribosomal RNA (1716 nucleotides) under human oral metagenome. Its description in RNAcentral is "bacterial LSU rRNA". It matches the Rfam family "Bacterial large subunit ribosomal RNA", at positions 697 to 2397 of the family's 2925-position model. The record is from RNAcentral.
AAGUCGGAUGGAAUAGACCCGAAACCACAGUGAUCUAUCCAUGCCCAGGUUGAAGCACAGGUAAAAAUGUGUGGAGGACCGAACCAGUGAGCGUUGAAAAGCUUUUGGAUGAGGUGUGGAUAGGGGUGAAAUGCCAAUCGAACGUGGAGAUAGCUGGUUCUCCCCGAAAUAGCUUUAGGGCUAGCCUCAUGGCAAGAGUGCAGGCGGUAGAGCACUGAACAGGGUAGGGGCCUAUCCGGCUACCGAACCUAAUCAAACUACGAAUGGCUGUACUUAUCCAUGGGAGUCAGACUGCGAGUGAUAAGACCCGUAGUCAAGAGGGAAACAGCCCAGACCAACAGCUAAGGUCCCCAAUGCCGUACUAAGUGGUAAAGGAUGUGGAGUUUCGAAAACAACCAGGAUGUUGGCUUAGAAGCAGCCACCAUUAAAAGAGUGCGUAAUAGCUCACUGGUCGAGAGACUCUGCGCCGAAGAUGACCGGGGCUAAAGUACGGAACCGAAGCUUUGGCAUGUAUGAAAAUACAUGGGUAGGGGAGCGUUCCUGCAUGGGCGAAGCCUGACCGGAAGGACAGGUGGACAGGCAGGAAGUGAGAAUGCCGGUAUGAGUAGCGAAAAGAAAGGUGAGAAUCCUUUCCACCGAAAGCCUAAGGGUUCCUGGGCAACGAUCGUCGACCCAGGGUAAGUCGGGACCUAAUCCGAGGCGAAGACGCAUAGGAGAUGGACAACAGGUUGAAAUUCCUGUACCGACGUCGUCUGUUUGAGCGAUGGAGUGACACAAGAAGGAAAGUUCGCAUGCGAUUGGAAGAGCAUGUCUAAGCAGGUAGGUUGAAUACCAGGCAAAUCCGGUAUUCUAAAAGCCGAGAAGUGAUAGGGAGCCUGUAGAGAUACAGGUGAAGGAACCGGGACUCAAUUGUCAAGAAAAGCUUCUAGUGAGGACGACGCCGCCCGUACCAAAACCGACACAGGUAGGCAAGAAGAGAAUUCUAAGGUGCGCGGGAAAACCCUCGUUAAGGAACUCGGCAAAAUGUAUCCGUAACUUCGGGAAAAGGAUAACCCAGAGUACGUGAAGGAAAGAAACAUCCGGAGCGGGAAUGGGUGGCACAAGAGAGGCCCAAGCGACUGUUUACCACAAACACAGGCGUCUGCUAAAGAGAAAUCUGAUGUAUAGAUGCUGACACCUGCCCGGUGCUGGAAGGUUAAGAGGACGUGUUAGCCGUAAGGCGAAGCAGAGAAUUGAAGCCCCAGUAAACGGCGGCCGUAACUAUAACGGUCCUAAGGUAGCGAAAUUCCUUGUCGGGUAAGUUCCGACCCGCACGAAAGGUGUAACGAUUUGGGCACUGUCUCAACGAGGGACCCGGUGAAAUUGAAGUACCUGUGAAGAUGCAGGUUACCCGCGACUGGACAGAAAGACCCCAUGGAGCUUUACUGUAACCUGAGAUUGAAUUUUGGUAGAAGAUGUACAGGAUAGUUGGGAGACGUAGAAGCGCGCACGCCAGUGUACGCAGAGUCGAUGGUGGGAUACCAACCUUGUUUUAUUGAAAUUCUAACGAGAGCCGUAACGAGGCUGCGGACAGUCUCAGGCGGGCAGUUUGACUGGGGCGGUCGCCUCCGAAAGAGCAACGGAGGCGCCCAAAGGUUCCCUCAGCGCGGACGGAAACCGCGCGAAGAGUGUAAAGGCAGAAGGGAGCUUGACUGCGAGACGGACAGGUCGAGCAGG